This 424-nucleotide ribosomal RNA is filed under the name uncultured prokaryote. RNAcentral's name for it is "bacterial SSU rRNA". It matches the Rfam family "Bacterial small subunit ribosomal RNA", at positions 355 to 796 of the family's 1533-position model. The record is from RNAcentral.
UGGGGAAUCUUAGACAAUGGGCGCAAGCCUGAUCUAGCCAUGCCGCGUGAGUGAUGAAGGCCCUAGGGUCGUAAAGCUCUUUCGCCAGGGAUGAUAAUGACAGUACCUGGUAAAGAAACCCCGGCUAACUCCGUGCCAGCAGCCGCGGUAAUACGGAGGGGGUUAGCGUUGUUCGGAAUUACUGGGCGUAAAGCGCGCGUAGGCGGACUAUUAAGUUAGGGGUGAAAUCCCGGGGCUCAACCCCGGAACUGCCUCUAAUACUGGUAGUCUUGAGUUCGAGAGAGGUGAGUGGAAUUCCGAGUGUAGAGGUGAAAUUCGUAGAUAUUCGGAGGAACACCAGUGGCGAAGGCGGCUCACUGGCUCGAUACUGACGCUGAGGUGCGAAAGUGUGGGGAGCAAACAGGAUUAGAUACCCCCGUAGUCC